This 253-nucleotide ribosomal RNA is filed under the name uncultured bacterium. RNAcentral describes it as "partial 16S ribosomal RNA". It matches the Rfam family "Bacterial small subunit ribosomal RNA", at positions 524 to 776 of the family's 1533-position model. The record is from RNAcentral.
UACGUAGGGAGCAAGCGUUGUCCGGAAUCAUUGGGCGUAAAGCGCGCGUAGGUGGCCUCGUAAGUCCGCUGUGAAAGUCAAAGGCUCAACCUUUGAAAGCCGGUGGAUACUGUGAGGCUAGAGUACGGAAGAGGCGAGUGGAAUUCCUGGUGUAGCGGUGAAAUGCGUAGAGAUCAGGAAGAACACCGGUGGCGAAGGCGCUCUGCUAGGCCGUAACUGACACUGAGGGACGAAAGCUAGGGGAGCGAAUGGG